This 253-nucleotide ribosomal RNA is filed under the name uncultured bacterium. RNAcentral describes it as "partial 16S ribosomal RNA". It matches the Rfam family "Bacterial small subunit ribosomal RNA", at positions 524 to 776 of the family's 1533-position model. The record is from RNAcentral.
UACAGAGGUCUCAAGCGUUGUUCGGAUUCAUUGGGCGUAAAGGGUGCGUAGGCGGCGCGGUAAGUCGGGUGUGAAAUCUCGGAGCUUAACUCAGAACGGCCAAGUGAUACUGCAGUGCUAGAGUGCAGAAAGGGCAAUCGGAAUUCUUGGUGUAGCGGUGAAAUGCGUAGAUAUCAAGAGGAACACCUGAGGCGAAGGCGGGUUGCUAGGCUGACACUGACGCUGAGGCGCGAAAGCCAGGGGAGCAAACGGG